UACGGAGGGGGCGAGCGUUAUUCGGAAUUAUUGGGCGUAAAGGGCGCGUAGGCGGCGCGAUAAGUCAGAGGUGAAAUCCCUCGGCUCAACUGAGGAACUGCCUUUGAGACUGUCGAGCUUGAGGCCGGGAGGGGGUAGCGGAAUUCCCAGUGUAGCGGUGAAAUGCGUAGAUAUUGGGAGGAACACCAGUGGCGAAGGCGGCUACCUGGACCGGUACUGACGCUGAUGCGCGAAAGCUAGGGGAGCGAACGGG
RNAcentral lists this ribosomal RNA (253 nucleotides) under uncultured bacterium. RNAcentral's name for it is "partial 16S ribosomal RNA". It matches the Rfam family "Bacterial small subunit ribosomal RNA", at positions 524 to 776 of the family's 1533-position model. The record is from RNAcentral.